AUGAUGUUCAGAAAUGAGGUCACCAGACUAGAUGCCAUCACAGCCAUUCUCUGCAUUGAAUCAUCCAUGACCACCUCGGCCAUUGUGGACAGUGUCGGGAAUGCCCUGCACUCCAAUUUCACUGAGAAUCCUGAUCAGGAAUAUGCCAAGCAAGAGAGGUUGAUCCUGGAGAAGCUGAGUUCUAUAGAUGAAUUUCCCGACAUAAUCAGCAUACAGGGAUCAAUAACCGGAUGAGAAUGGAGGUCGAACAAGCUGUGGCUCAUGAGCAGGUGGGUGUUUAACUUUUAUGCCCUCACCAACCUCACAGUAAAAUCCAAGUUGAAUACAUUACAUCAUAAGCUGCUUCUUAGUCUGGCUUUGUAGAAUUCCAUCGUAGAAUGCUUUUUCAAACUCCCUUGGUGUUAUAUAAACUUUCUAACCCUCUAAGGUGUUUUUCUUUGUGUUGGUGUCUUUGUUAAAUGUCACUCCAUAUGGAGGGUUCGUUUGUAAUUUACUUUUGGCUACUGUUUAGUAAAAGUAAAUGAAAAAUGAUUCCAAGUAA
This is a long non-coding RNA of Vitis riparia (riverbank grape), 541 nucleotides long. RefSeq lists it as uncharacterized. The record is from RefSeq and is a predicted model, not a curated record. The transcript has 2 exons. NCBI's taxonomy places the organism in Eukaryota, Viridiplantae, Streptophyta, Magnoliopsida, Vitales, Vitaceae.